AGUACAUGGAAGUAAAGUUGGAAGUUCCUCUAAAUUCUGGACAAGGGAGUCCUAGUAAUAAUGAGAUGAAAAAGGAUAUCAUGGAUAAUAACAGCCAAAAGCCUGAUGGUGAAUCUGCUGUACAAGAUGAGUCUACUAGUUUAUCAAAGCAAGAGAGCGUCAAAGUUGAGAAAGAAACUGAUCCAGGAAAGCAAGAAAAUUCUGGACAACCUGCUGAUAAUGCAGCUGGAACCAAGUCUGGA
This 242-nucleotide unclassified non-coding RNA is filed under the name Hevea brasiliensis (rubber tree). The record is from RNAcentral. Lineage: Eukaryota; Viridiplantae; Streptophyta; Magnoliopsida; Malpighiales; Euphorbiaceae.